This 528-nucleotide ribosomal RNA is filed under the name Vishniacozyma victoriae. RNAcentral's name for it is "partial large subunit ribosomal RNA". It matches the Rfam family "Eukaryotic large subunit ribosomal RNA", at positions 104 to 623 of the family's 3401-position model. Lineage: Eukaryota; Fungi; Basidiomycota; Tremellomycetes; Tremellales; Bulleribasidiaceae. The record is from RNAcentral.
UGAGCUCAAAUUUAAAAUCUGGCGUCUUUCAGGCGUCCGAGUUGUAAUCUAUAGAGGCGUUUUCCGCGCCGGACCGCGUCCAAGUCUCUUGGAAUAGAGUAUCAAAGAGGGUGACAAUCCCGUACUUGACGCGACAACCGGUGCUCUGUGAUACGUUCUCAAUGAGUCGAGUUGUUUGGGAAUGCAGCUCUAAAUGGGUGGUAAAUUCCAUCUAAGGCUAAAUAUUGGCGAGAGACCGAUAGCGAACAAGUACCGUGAGGGAAAGAUGAAAAGCACUUUGGAAAGAGAGUUAAACAGCACGUGAAAUUGUUAAAAGGGAAACGAUUGAAGUCAGUCGUGUGAAAGGUAUUCAGCCGUCUCUGGCGGUGUAUUUGCCUUUCACGGGUCAACAUCAGUUUGAUCCGGUAGAAAAAGGCGGGAGGAAGGUGGCACCCUCGGGUGUGUUAUAGCCUCCUGUCAUAUGUGCCGGACCAGACUGAGGAACGCAGCUUGCCGCAAGGCCGGGGUUCGCCCACGUACAAGCUAGGA